CUGCAGUGAUGAUCAACUUAGGACACCUUUGGAUUAAUGAUGAAACCAACCUGUUUAUCCUGAGCAGC
Small nucleolar RNA from Nematolebias whitei (Rio pearlfish), 68 nucleotides. RefSeq annotates it as small nucleolar RNA SNORD58. The transcript has a single exon. NCBI's taxonomy places the organism in Eukaryota, Metazoa, Chordata, Actinopteri, Cyprinodontiformes, Rivulidae. The record is from RefSeq and is a predicted model, not a curated record.